CGUAGGCAGCGAGCGUUGUUCGGAGUUACUGGGCGUAAAGGGUGUGUAGGCGGUCUCUUAAGUCUGGUGUGAAAUCUCCCGGCUCAACUGGGAGGGUGCGCCGGAAACUGAGAGGCUUGGAGUGCGGGAGAGGAGAGUGGAAUUCCUGGUGUAGCGGUGAAAUGCGUAGAUAUCAGGAGGAACACCGGUGGUGCAGACGGCUCUCUGGACCGUAACUGACGCUGAGACACGAAAGCGUGGGGAGCAAACAGGAUUAGAUACCCUGGUAGUCCACGCCCUAAACGAUGCAUAUUUGGUGUAGGUCAUUCAGUUGAUCUGUGCCGGAGCUAACGCGUUAAAUAUGCCGCCUGGGGAGUACAGUCGCAAGGCUG
RNAcentral lists this ribosomal RNA (371 nucleotides) under uncultured organism. RNAcentral's name for it is "bacterial SSU rRNA". It matches the Rfam family "Bacterial small subunit ribosomal RNA", at positions 526 to 896 of the family's 1533-position model. The record is from RNAcentral.